GCUGCGGUUGGGAAUACAAGAGGUCAUGUAACAAGUCAUAUCCCAACAAGUGGUGGUCGUGAGUUAUCACAGGCCCCAUCUCCAGCCUGCGAAGAUGGCUCAACGAUAUGUGCUGAUCACGACGGUGCCGGAAUUGCAAUACUGGAAGUCAGAAUUGCUUCUGAUGUUGUGCUGAGCUUCAGUUAGUAUCAUAACCUCCACCACUCCGUGAAGCGCAAGGGGCCAAGCUUGCGGGUUUAAUUGAGAUCCAAACGACUAGCCCAAUUGAUGCAAAAGGUAUUUGGACCAGGAAUUCAUGGUGCCUCCUUGAAAAAAGAC
RNAcentral lists this small RNA (318 nucleotides) under Histoplasma capsulatum. RNAcentral's name for it is "hypothetical RNA". Lineage: Eukaryota; Fungi; Ascomycota; Eurotiomycetes; Onygenales; Ajellomycetaceae. RNAcentral also lists the same sequence under 1 other name. The record is from RNAcentral.